Molecule: unclassified non-coding RNA, 601 nt
Filed under: Leishmania donovani
Lineage: Eukaryota; Euglenozoa; Kinetoplastea; Trypanosomatida; Trypanosomatidae
Description: gene:LdHU3.21.0900(CDS-product:60S_ribosomal_prot ein_L36_putative)
Source: RNAcentral
GUGACAAUCAUGUCCGCACCUACUCCUCGCACCGGCAUCAUUGCCGGCUUCAACAAGGGUCACGUGACGACCCGCCGUCCGCGCCAGCCGUCGCCCAACGACCGCUUUGCCGUGCCUCACAAGCACCUGCGCGCUGUGAAGGCUAUCAUCGCUGAUUUAGUAGGCUUGUCCCCCCUGGAGAAGCGUGUACAGGAGUUUCUGCGUGUCGGCAAGGAGAAGCGCGCCUUGAAGUACUGCAAGAAGCGUCUUGGAGAUUUUACUGCGGCCAAGAAGAAGCGCUCGAAGAUGGAGGAGGCGCUGCGUCACACAACCAAGAAGCACCAUUAAAGUAUUCGGCAGCUGUCAUCACUUUUUUUCUACUUUGGCAAAACAUCAAGCGAGAACAUAAGAAAACAACAACAACAAAAAAAAACAAUAUAAUGAUAAAAAAGUGCUAUCACAGUGACUAACUGCACUUUUUCCAUGCGAGCUACUCCUGUGCUCUGUUGCCCUCGCUUUUGUGACGGUGCCUGUGAUAUCGAUUGACGCUCUACUAUUCCUUUUGCACCCUCCUCUCUGUUCUCUCUUGAACCGCUGCACUACUCAUCUGUGUGACAUGAAG